UGGGGAAUAUUGCACAAUGGGCGCAAGCCUGAUGCAGCCAUGCCGCGUGUGUGAAGAAGGCCUUCGGGUUGUAAAGUACUUUCAGUCGGGAGGAAGGUGGUAAGGUUAAUAACCUUAUCAAUUGACGUUACCGACAGAAGAAGCACCGGCUAACUCCGUGCCAGCAGCCGCGGUAAUACGGAGGGUGCAAGCGUUAAUCGGAAUUACUGGGCGUAAAGCGCACGCAGGCGGUUGAUUGAGUCAGAUGUGAAAUCCCCGGGCUUAACCCGGGAAUUGCAUCUGUUCCUGGUCAGCUAGAGUCUUGUAGAGGGGGGUAGAAUUCCAUGUGUAGCGGUGAAAUGCGUAGAGAUGUGGAGGAAUACCGGUGGCGAAGGCGGCCCCCUGGACAAAGACUGACGCUCAGGUGCGAAAGCGUGGGGAGCAAACAGG
RNAcentral lists this ribosomal RNA (429 nucleotides) under Chloroflexota bacterium. RNAcentral's name for it is "Chloroflexi bacterium partial 16S ribosomal RNA". It matches the Rfam family "Bacterial small subunit ribosomal RNA", at positions 355 to 776 of the family's 1533-position model. The record is from RNAcentral. Lineage: Bacteria; Bacillati; Chloroflexota.